CCGAUAGGUGGGCUUAGAAGUAGCCAUCCUUUAAAGAGUGUGUAAUAACUCAUCGG
Ribosomal RNA from Desertifilum sp., 56 nucleotides. It matches the Rfam family "Bacterial large subunit ribosomal RNA", at positions 1093 to 1148 of the family's 2925-position model. NCBI's taxonomy places the organism in Bacteria, Bacillati, Cyanobacteriota, Cyanophyceae, Desertifilales, Desertifilaceae. The record is from Rfam.